RNAcentral lists this ribosomal RNA (467 nucleotides) under uncultured bacterium. RNAcentral's name for it is "partial 16S ribosomal RNA". It matches the Rfam family "Bacterial small subunit ribosomal RNA", at positions 28 to 507 of the family's 1533-position model. The record is from RNAcentral.
GACGAACGCUGGCGGCGUGCUUAACACAUGCAAGUCGAACGGAAAGGCCCUGCUUUUGUGGGGUGCUCGAGUGGCGAACGGGUGAGUAACACGUGAGUACCUGCCCUUGACUUUUGGAUAACUUCAGGAAACUGGGGCUAAUACCGGAUAGGAGCUCCUGCUGCAUGGUGGGGGUUGGAAAGUUUCGGCGGUUGGGGAUGGACUCGCGGCUUAUCAGCUUGUUGGUGGGGUAGUGGCUUACCAAGGCUUUGACGGGUAGCCGGCCUGAGAGGGUGACAGGCCACAUGGGGACUGAGAUACGGCCCAGACUCCUACGGGAGGCAGCAGUGGGGAAUAUUGCACAAUGGGCGGAAGCCUGAUGCAGCAACGCCGGGUGCGGGAUGACGGCCUUCGGGUUGUAAACCGCUUUAGCCUGUGACGAAGCGGGAGUGACGGUAAUGGGUAAAGAAGCACCGGCUAACUACGUG